Antrostomus carolinensis (chuck-will's-widow) is the source of this 482-nucleotide long non-coding RNA. RefSeq lists it as uncharacterized. NCBI's taxonomy places the organism in Eukaryota, Metazoa, Chordata, Aves, Caprimulgiformes, Caprimulgidae. The transcript has 2 exons. The record is from RefSeq and is a predicted model, not a curated record.
CCAGACUCCAUGAAAACAGAAGGCCAGUUGGGCUGGCAGUCAGACUAAGUGGCCUGACUCCGUUGGUGUUUAAGUGGAGCUCUGGUAUUCUAGUGCAUUCUUUUACCUCUGCUUCUGUUGCGUUGCAAGCUGUGCUAGAGAAGACGUAGGAAAUUCAUUUUACCCAAUCAGCAAUUGUAACAAUGGACUACAAACCCGCAGAGCAAGCCGGUUUGCUGGAAAACAGGAAUUCCUGCAGCGCAGCACUUGUCACAGACUAUCCAAAGAGGGCAAAGAUUCAGGAAGGUGAAUAAAUUGAACAUUGGUUGAAUGAGGUCAGGAACAGUCUCCUGGAGGAGAGCCCUGCCCUAAAAUACCACUUUGAAAGUAUAAGCCAAUUUAAUGUGCAGAUUAACCCUUCUCAUUUGAGCAAACUUGUGUGCAAUCCUGGAUCUUUGCAGAUUACAACCGGACACUUAAAAAGCCUAUGUACUAUAUUUGUU